This 497-nucleotide ribosomal RNA is filed under the name uncultured bacterium. RNAcentral describes it as "partial 16S ribosomal RNA". It matches the Rfam family "Bacterial small subunit ribosomal RNA", at positions 28 to 507 of the family's 1533-position model. The record is from RNAcentral.
GAUGAACGCUGGCGGCGUGCCUAAUACAUGCAAGUCGAGCGAACGGACGAUAAGCUUGCUUCUCUGAUGUUAGCGGCGGACGGGUGAGGAACACGUGGAUAACCUACCUAUAAGACUGGGAUAACUUCGGGAAACCGGAGCUAAUACCGGAUAAUAUUUUGAACCGCAUGGUUCAAAAGUGAAAGACGGUCUUGCUGUCACUUAUACAUGGAUCCGCGCUGCAUUAGCUAGUUGGUAGGGUAACGGCUUACCAAGGCAACGAUGCAUAGCCGACCUGAGAGGGUGAUCGGCCACACUGGAACUGAGACACGGUCCAGACUCCUACGGGAGGCAGCAGUAGGGAAUCUUCCGCAAUGGGCGAAAGCCUGACGGAGCAACGCCGCGUGAGUGAUGAAGGUCUUCGGAUCGUAAAACUCUGUUAUUAGGGAAGAACAUAUGUGUAAGUAACUGUGCACAUCUUGACGGUACCUAAUCAGAAAGCCACGGCUAACUACGUG